Carassius gibelio (silver crucian carp) is the source of this 3581-nucleotide long non-coding RNA. RefSeq lists it as uncharacterized. The transcript has 4 exons. The record is from RefSeq and is a predicted model, not a curated record. NCBI's taxonomy places the organism in Eukaryota, Metazoa, Chordata, Actinopteri, Cypriniformes, Cyprinidae.
GGAGCGAACAAUACGCUCAGUAAAGAACAAGCGGUUGUUAAGUGCAUGCUACACAUGGAGACUGUGUAGGAUUUGAUAUUUUAAUCAAAAUUGAUAUACGGAAAACAGAAAACCGUCCGUGUGGAUAGGGAGUGGAAAUUAUGCAGAACUCGACAAAUGGUGUAUGAGCGCCGAAAAAGAAGAGGAAGAGAGUUCAGCGAACGACCUUAAAUGACUCCACAUCCGUCAGGUAAAACAAACAGAUGUCCUCUUCAUUUUCUGGCACAAUAGAAGCAAACAUAAAAGCUGUUUCUAUGUAGUUUAGAUAACGGCUACUAUAUUUCAACUUUAGAUUCUUGAAUGUGUGAAGUUUCCUCAUGAGAUGUCUAAGGUAUUCAGACAUUAAUGGUGACGUGUGUAAUUUCAAUGUCAUGGAAAUGCAAAAAUACUGACCUAAGAUUAAUUUCAUAUUAUCAGCUUGACUCAUGAAUCCUGAUGAAUAAAUCCUGUUUUACUGAUCAUCAAGUGUCGAGAUAACUAGUGUGCACAGGCUGCUUCUUGCUUUUAAAUUCUGGAUUUAUACCAGGUUAUAAUGUCCUUCCCUAUAAUUAUUUUAUAAAUUAUUGCUGCCAUGCAUUACUAGAAAAUAAUACACUAAAGGUCAAAAGUUUGGGGUCGAUAGGAUUUUUUAGUUAAAAGAAGUCUCUUCUGCUUACCAUGUCUGCAUUUAUUUGAUUAAAAAUAAAUACAGUAAUAUUGUAACAAUAUUACAAUUUAAAAAAAAAACUUUUUAACCUAAUUAAAUUAGAAAGUUUUUUAUUUAGUCAUGUUUUGCACAUUCAUUUAUUAGUGGAUAGUGAAAAAGAUGCACACAGAAGUGGUGCAACCUUUAAAUGAAUUCACUCCUUAAAACAUUUAGUUUUUUUCUUCAAGUCCAUUCCACCACGGUCACAGCAACCAGAUAUUUAUUUACUAGCAACUAGAAAAGUCGGACAGCAUAGACUUUCCGUUCUACAUGUUAACAUUCACACCACACAGCUGACUUCUGUUUUCACUGACAUCUUCGAUUGCUUUCUUUCUCUUCAAUUGCUUUCCUCUAUUUGUUUGGAGUGUCCUGUGGAUAUCCAAGACGUCAAGUGAAAACAACUUCUCAACAUUAGUGAUGGUCCUGUCUGGAUUCCCCACGGCUAUCCAAUGACUUCUGCACUAGAACACAGAGCAGCAGUACAUGGUGGGAAUGAAGAUGCAGUGUUUGUGCACAUGCUGUGUCUCACCCAGCUCGAUCGUUCACAUCUGUGGAGAUGAAAGGCGAGGCAGAGAAACGCUUUCAUAUGCCAAAGGAAGCAUUUCAUUGCACGCUGUGCAAAAACAACAAGACUACAUUUGUGUGUGUGCAUCACACUCCAUUAUUUGAGCCACCCAGACAGAAAAAGAGCCAGUCAAGAAGACAAGGUUGCAUCACCAUCCACAGGCUAAAUAUAUACAUCAUACGGUCAUUCCCAGUUACUAAAGUUUGGAUCAGUACCAUUUUGUUUGUUUUUUUUUAAUUAAUUUUCUAUUCAGCAAGGGUCCAUUAAAUUGAUCAAACAUGACAUCAAAGACAUUUAUAAUGUUACAAAAAGAUGUUCAAAUGAUGUUGUUCUUUUGAACUUUUUGUUCAUCAAAGAAUCCUGUAAAAAUUGAUAAUAAUGAGAAACGUUUCUUGAGCAGCAAAUUAGAGAAGACUGGGGUAAUGAUGCUGAAAAAUUCUGCUCUGCAUCACAGGUAUAAAUAACAUUUUACAAGAUACUCAAAUAGAAAACACUUAUUUUAUAAUCAUGUUUCAGAAUACUAGUUUUUGCUGUAUUUUUGAUCAAAUAAAUGUAGCCUCAGUGAGGAGAAUAGACUUAUUUCAGAAACAUUAAAAAGUUUUUUAUGCAAUUAUUCCAAACUUCUGAAUGGUAGGGUAUAUCUAAAUAUAUUAAAUAAAAUAUUACAAUGUUAUUUCAUUAUUGGCACAUUUUUAGUAACAUUAUUUAAUGCAUCGAGUUAUAGGUUUUCUUGUAUCAAUCUCUCAUAAUAUUUAGAAUAACAUUAUUUAUCUUACUGUAUUACUGUAUUUUCUGUCAUAUUUUGCUUUUCCAAUUUCACCCAAUGACACUAUUUUUGAUGGUUAAACCAAGUCGUAGAUGUUUUGUUGACGAGCAUGGCACUGUUCAUCUGCUGGUAGAUGUUGGAGCAGCCAUGGAUGGCCAUUCAGCACAAACACAAAGGUAUACUUCUCAAGUAAUGUAAGUGGGUCAUCAAGCAUUUUGACUGUUGUAUAAAAUAUUAUGUUCCAUCAGUCAAACUCUGCCUGCAGUGUAAUAAGAGAUGGAAACUUUGCUCAACAUCCAGUGUCUAGUGUAUGAAGAGAGACUGAGCACUAGAAACAGAAGUUAUUGAUGUAUUUAUUUUGUAACCAGAGAUCUGACUGUGGUCUUCUGUGUGCUAACGUCCUGGGGUUGCUUUGGAGGAGCAGCGUUUGCCAGAGGACACACCUAACCAUUUCUUCAGCUUGAGUCAGCAUCUGACCAAAGUGCAAAGCGUUUCUGUCAGAAGAUAACAAAAGAUCACAGUCGAUGGUCUUUAAGAGAGCUCCAAAUGCAUCAUCAUGGCAUGUUUGUGCUUCUGUUGUCUGUUGAAAUGGUGCAUCCAGGUCAAGUGAAUGCGCUCAUGCUGAUUCUUGGAAAUCACACUGAACUCGGAGUUAAUGUGUUACAAGCCAAUUAAAACAGAAUGAACAAAUAUAAGACACUGAUUAUACUAACAUCUUUUAUUUUAUUUAUUAUGACAUUGAUAUAAAGAUUUGGCAGACAGUUUAUUUAUUUAUUUAUAUACUUUUGAAGUAUUUUUUAUUUUAAAUUUUGAUGUCAAUUUUUUUUUAAAGCCAUCUGAAUAUUAGGUGGAUGUUUUGGGGUUCAGCAUGGCAAUCUUUCUUAUUUCUAUACACUUAUUUUUUAUUUAUUGUUCAUGUGAGAAUUUGUAUUUUUAAUAUUUUCUUAAUAAAGCCAUCUGAAAAUAUGUGCUUAGAUGGCACACUUUCUGUACAUUUCUAUUCUUUUUAUUUUCAAAUGUUUGUCAAUUUGUUUUUAUAUAGCUAUCUGAAAAUGUAGACAUUUUAUGGUUCUCUUUGGCAAGCUGUUUAUUUCUGUACUCAAGUUUGAUGGCAAUGUUUAUUUUUAGAAAGAUAUCUGAAACAUGGGGGAUGUUUUGUGAUUCUGCAUAACAAACAAGUUUUUAUUUCUAAAUAUUAAUGGUUUAUUUAUUUAUAUAUUAUUAUUGUUAUUUUAAUUUUGAUGUCAAUAUGAAUUUAUAAAGUUUUCUGAAAAUGUUAUGGACAUUUUGUGGUUCUGGAUGUCAAACGGUUUUAUUUCUAUACAUUUCCAAAUUUUACAUUUUGAUGUCAGUAUUUAUUUUUAUAAAGCUAUCUGUGAAUGUGGUGAACUGUGUUUUUAUUUCUGUAAAUUUCUUUUUAAAAUUUUCAUGUCAAUGUUUACUUUUAUAAAGCGAUCUGGAAACAUAUGGUGGACAUGUUGUGGAGCUGUACAACAAAAUUAAAAUCCGUUUUGACAGCUGUGUUA